Panicum virgatum (switchgrass) is the source of this 2146-nucleotide RNA transcript. RefSeq lists it as uncharacterized. The transcript has 3 exons. NCBI's taxonomy places the organism in Eukaryota, Viridiplantae, Streptophyta, Magnoliopsida, Poales, Poaceae. The record is from RefSeq and is a predicted model, not a curated record.
CUCUGACUCCUCGUUGAGCCACGUCGCCCGAAAACACAACAAGCGUACUAUCGGACCAUCCAACGGGCCAUGGGAGCGAGCAGGCUCGCGCCGCCUUCCGACUGCCGCUCCGCCCGGCGGGCCUCCGCCCUACUCGAUCCUCCUCGACCCUUCACGCGCCUCCGCCUACUCUCGUCAGCCCCGCUCCACUCCUACAGGCGCGCGAGCGCCCGGCGACCACGGACGACCAAGCGGCCCAGCGGCCGGCUGCACGUGGCCAACGGGCGGACCAGUGGCUACUGCGACCAUCAGCUGAGGCCAGAGCGCGGCGCGGGGGCCAGCAGGCUGGUGACCGGCGGCAGCCAGUGCCGGGGAGGCCCGGCCAGCUGCGAGGUGACCGCGGCGUCACGCGGCCAGACGCAGCCGCCAUGGCCUGCCGACCACGGGGCAACGCAGCGCGGCCAGCUCGCCAUGACCUUCCGACCACGGGGCAAGCAGCCCUGGGCGCAGCUCGGACGAGCAGCCGGUCAGGCCGGCGACAAGCAGGUCCGCGAGACGCGAGGUGGACCUGCAGCGACGCCCUUGACACUACUGCGCCUAUCUCUCCCGUGUUCACACCUGCGCUGCUUUGACCUCGACGUCCGCUUCAUAUUCGCCCAGCAGGUGCUCGACACAAUGCCGUUAGUACACUUGAAGCUGUACAAUCCUCUACUCUGCAUGUUGUUUGAACAGCCGGCUGGACAGAAAUUCUCUCUCUGGGCCAGUUCCUUCCAAUACGAAGAACCUCACCAACGUAAGUGAGCUGUAAGUUGUUUAGUACCAUUGCAUUUGUGAUUGUAUGUAUGGGAACAUUCAGUCAUACUUAAGACCGUACUGGUAUAUUUCAGCAGCUUAGCCAACAACCAGCUCACUGGACCGUUGCCUGAUCUAUCAGGGAUUGAACUUCUCAAUUAUGUGCAAGCAAUCUGCACUAUGAAAGAUUUCUUCUGCUAACUGAAAACCAUCACUGAACAUGCUUAACCUCAAAUUCUUCCACCGUCUAACGCACCACAGUGAUCUGAACAACAAUACAUUUGUUCCUUCCUUAAGCCCGCUGUGGUUUUGGAAGUUACCGCAACUCUCACCUCUAUAUGAUGUGACCAUGGAUGCUGCCCCUGAAGUCCGAUAGUUUAUGAGAAGACAAAUAUAAGAAUCUCAUAAUCAUUGUUCAAAUAGGUGAAGCUGUUGCUGCAGAAAAGGCAGCAGAAAAAGAGCACACAUCAUCACAAAGCUCUAGGAUUAUCCAGAGUAAUGACUGAGAUAGGCCUCCACAGGUAAUUUCCUACAAUUACUCAAUAGCACUUGCAGUAUCAAUUACUGAUUUUCCCAAUCAAGUAUCCUAAAUUCAUUUUACAGAAAAUCCCAAGCAUACUCAUUUUACUGAAAAAUAGGCAUUUCCCGCCAACUAUUGUCAUGUCAUACUUUGACACCCCUCAAGUCUUCCAUGGCCUCUACUCUAUUGAAUUUCUGUUUAGUACUCGUAUAACACCCAGUACAGCCAAUACCAUCCACAAACUACACUGCAAAUUAAAAUCAAUGAUGAUUUAUAUUUGUCAAAAUUAAAUGACCAUGCAUACCAUGCACAGCAGCGCAACCACUAAAUGUUCAAUGUACUCUGUACCAUUUCUCUCAAACUAACUGCAGCCAAGACUACCAUAUGCAAAUACAAGUUGCCAUUAUUGAUUUUCUUUCUUGCAUAACUGUACUUCAUACUGUUAAUAUUAUGCUUGACUAAUUUAUUUUAUUUGGACGAGGAAAAUACUCAGUUGGGAAACUUAAUAUGACAAGACAAGCCCAUGAAGCUCAAUUGGUGAUUUGUUUUUCUUACUAUACUUUCAAUUUUAAGAAAUCACAGUGAAGUUGAGGAAUCAGCUCAUCACAAUAUUAUUCGGCAUGCAUGGCUGUCCACAAUAAAGAAACCAUCAUGCUCUUGAACAGUUUACAUGACUCUGCAAAACAUUCAGUUGUGGAGGACGUAUCUGAGAUAAGUUUAUAUACUUGCAUUUCUAGCCUGAUGCUGGUGGUAGCGUCACUUCAAGCUAUUUAUUUAUAUAUCAUGAUAUGAAAAUACUUUUGUAUAUCAUUUAACUGAUUGGAGGAAGAUGCCUGCUAUUUCUAUGUUUUAAAA